Paramuricea clavata is the source of this 645-nucleotide non-coding RNA. Lineage: Eukaryota; Metazoa; Cnidaria; Anthozoa; Malacalcyonacea; Plexauridae. The record is from the annotation of a GenBank genome assembly.
CCGCGAUCCGACAAUGGUCUUGUCUAAAUUUGAAUCCGCUAAAAGCUCUACUAUGAAGUCACAAUCCAGGAUCCGAACUAAAUUGCAAGCUAAAUCCGCAAUCCCAGCCAAAAUAUUAGAUAAAUGCGCAAUCAGCUGUAUUAAUAAGAUCCGCAAAUCCGUGUAAAAUAUUCGCCAGAUUCUAAAUCCGAACAAUUUUUUCUGUGAAAUCUGACGAUCCGAAAACCUAUUCACCCACCCCCCUUAAAAAUGUCGAGGCAACAAAACCCAAAAUGACUCAACUUUUAAUGACAACACCUUUGUUUAGAAGACCGGAUAAUUUGUUCAAUAAUUUAUAUGACUCAAGUUUUAAUGGAAUACCUUAACUUUCAAUAUUUAACCUUUUGUCUUCGAACAAUGAAGUGAAUAUAUGUGCAAAACUGCGACAGUCCGCUUGAAUAUAGGUACAAGUUUGGAAUAAGCGCUGAAUAAUUAUGCACAAGCAAACGUCCCCAAUUGUUAUCUAGUUUAAAUGCUUUUACAUAUAUAUGUAUAUAUAUACGGCCUAAUGAAAAAUUUUACUUUCUGAUCCUCUCCAAAAAUGUAUAGUGACUAAAGUAUGUAACCAAUGUAAUCACAGGAUACAUUAUUUGUAGUGAUUUUGCA